CCUACGGGUGGCAGCAGCAAGGAAUUUUGUGCAAUGGGCGAAAGCCUGACACAGCGACGCCGCGUGGGGGAUGAAGGUUUUCGGGUUGUAAACCCCUUUUCUCAGGGAGGAAAAAUGACAGUACCUGGGGAAUAAGCCAUGGCUAACUACGUGCCAGCAGCCGCGGUAAUACGUAGGUGGCGAGCGUUAUCCGGAUUUACUGGGCGUAAAGCGGGUGCAGGCGGUCUUUCAAGUCGGAUGUAAAAUCUCCCGGCUCAACUGGGAGGGAUCAUUCGAUACUGUUGGGCUAGAGGGCAGCAGGGGAAGGUGGAAUUCCCGGUGUAGUGGUGAAAUGCGUAGAUAUCGGGAGGAACACCAGUGGCGAAGGCGGCCUUCUGGGUUGUUUCUGACGCUGAUGCCCGAAGGUGUGGGGAGCAAACAGGAUUAGAUACCCUAGUAGUCC
Molecule: ribosomal RNA, 442 nt
Filed under: Escherichia coli
Lineage: Bacteria; Pseudomonadati; Pseudomonadota; Gammaproteobacteria; Enterobacterales; Enterobacteriaceae
Description: bacterial SSU rRNA
Rfam family: Bacterial small subunit ribosomal RNA
Source: RNAcentral